AUUGAACGCUGCGGCAGGCCUAACACAUGCAAGUCGAGCGGUAGAGAGAAGCUUGCUUCUCUUGAGAGCGGCGGACGGGUGAGUAAUGCCUAGGAAUCUGCCUGGUAGUGGGGAUAACGUUCGGAAACGGACGCUAAUACCGCAUACGUCCUACGGGAGAAAGCAGGGGACCUUCGGGCCUUGCGCUAUCAGAUGAGCCUAGGUCGGAUUAGCUAGUUGGUGGGGUAAUGGCUCACCAAGGCGACGAUCCGUAACUGGUCUGAGAGGAUGAUCAGUCACACUGGAACUGAGACACGGUCCAGACUCCUACGGGAGGCAGCAGUGGGGAAUAUUGGACAAUGGGCGAAAGCCUGAUCCAGCCAUGCCGCGUGUGUGAAGAAGGUCUUCGGAUUGUAAAGCACUUUAAGUUGGGAGGAAGGGUUGUAGAUUAAUACUCUGCAAUUUUGACGUUACCGACAGAAUAAGCACCGGCUAA
This 475-nucleotide ribosomal RNA is filed under the name Pseudomonas sp. oral taxon C61. RNAcentral's name for it is "bacterial SSU rRNA". It matches the Rfam family "Bacterial small subunit ribosomal RNA", at positions 30 to 500 of the family's 1533-position model. The record is from RNAcentral. Lineage: Bacteria; Pseudomonadati; Pseudomonadota; Gammaproteobacteria; Pseudomonadales; Pseudomonadaceae.